CAUAAGUAUUUGUUAACUUUCAGACGUCACGUUUGACCAUCCGUCUUAUUUAAAAAUUUUAUUAAUAUAUUAUUUAUUUUGUUAUAAUUUAUUUUAUUAUUAGGUAUACUUCAAGUAUGACUUAUUUGUUUUUAUAUUUCUACAAAUUUUUUAAAUAAGAUGGAUGGUCAAACGUGACGUCUGAAAGUCAAUAAAUGCUUAUAUU
This 205-nucleotide microRNA precursor is filed under the name Leersia perrieri. Its description in RNAcentral is "MIR812 microRNA precursor family". It matches the Rfam family "MIR812 microRNA precursor family". The record is from Rfam by way of RNAcentral. Lineage: Eukaryota; Viridiplantae; Streptophyta; Magnoliopsida; Poales; Poaceae.